This 143-nucleotide small RNA is filed under the name Rahnella inusitata. Its description in RNAcentral is "isrN Hfq binding RNA". It matches the Rfam family "isrN Hfq binding RNA". Lineage: Bacteria; Pseudomonadati; Pseudomonadota; Gammaproteobacteria; Enterobacterales; Yersiniaceae. The record is from RNAcentral.
GGAUCACCGGUUCAUCACGUCGCGUAUCCGGUUGAUAGCGAAACACCGUCCUACUCGGCGAUAACGUCCUGCAUGCAUGGCGUAUGCUCAUCGUAAACUGGGUGGUCAGAUAGUCGACGAGCUCACGUUUUAUCGCUGGUUUU